This 420-nucleotide ribosomal RNA is filed under the name uncultured bacterium. Its description in RNAcentral is "bacterial SSU rRNA". It matches the Rfam family "Bacterial small subunit ribosomal RNA", at positions 30 to 446 of the family's 1533-position model. The record is from RNAcentral.
AUUGAACGCUGGCGGCAGGUCUAACACAUGCAAGUCGAGCGGUAACAGAACUAGCUUGCUAGUUGCUGACAAGCGGCGGACGGGUGCGUAACACGUAGGAAUCUACCCAGUAGCGGGGGAUAGCCCGGAGAAAUCCGGAUUAAUACCGCAUACGCCCUACGGGGGAAAGCAGGGGAUCUUCGGACCUUGCACUAUUGGAUGAGCCUGCGUCGGAUUAGCUUGUUGGUGAGGUAAAGGCUCACCAAGGCGACGAUCCGUAGCUGGUCUGAGAGGAUGAUCAGCCACACUGGGACUGAGACACGGCCCAGACUCCUACGGGAGGCAGCAGUGGGGAAUAUUGCACAAUGGGCGAAAGCCUGAUGCAGCCCUGCCGCGUGUGUGAAGAAGGCUCUAGGGUUGUAAAGCACUUUCAGCGAGGAG